GCCGAAGUGGCGGAAUGGUAGACGCGAUGGUCUCAAAAACCAUUGGGAGCGAUCCCGUGUCGGUUCGAAUCCGACCUUCGGCACCA
This 86-nucleotide transfer RNA is filed under the name Dehalococcoidia bacterium. RNAcentral describes it as "tRNA-Leu". It matches the Rfam family "tRNA". From Rfam's summary of the family: Transfer RNA (tRNA) molecules are approximately 80 nucleotides in length. Their secondary structure includes four short double-helical elements and three loops (D, anti-codon, and T loops). Further hydrogen bonds mediate the characteristic L-shaped molecular structure. tRNAs have two regions of fundamental functional importance: the anti-codon, which is responsible for specific mRNA codon recognition, and the 3' end, to which the tRNAs corresponding amino acid is attached (by aminoacyl-tRNA synthetases). tRNAs cope with the degeneracy of the genetic code in two manners: having more than one tRNA (with a specific anti-codon) for a particular amino acid; and 'wobble' base-pairing, i.e. permitting non-standard base-pairing at the 3rd anti-codon position. RNAcentral also lists the same sequence under 1 other name. The record is from RNAcentral. Lineage: Bacteria; Bacillati; Chloroflexota; Dehalococcoidia.